GGGUGUGUCUGUCAUCUAGUCUGCAAGGCAGCUGUAGAGGAUGACAGACACUGCUUUUGUAUUUAAAAGAAUAAAAGAAAGAAUAAAAGGGGGUCCAGACCAAUCACGACUCUAUACACCUGUCUUUGCAUCUCGAAGGCUGUGGGCAAGUCUUCCUGGUUGCCGCACAGCGCUGUGAGCACCACUCUUUGCAGCUCAAAGCUGCGGGCAUCUCAAAGGCUGUGGGCAACUCUUCCUGGUUGCCCCCAUCUGUCUCCCCGCUCUAUCAGCAGUAGCUGUUGCAAUCACGUCAGGGUCCACCAAUUGCCACACUUUCAGAGACAGACCAGUGCCAGGACACACUGAGUUCAUGCAGCAACAGCUGCCUUGAUUGAGAUCUUGCUUCCUUAUGUACCUAUGAAGCCCACGGGGUUAGUCCUCAUUGGCCGAGCCAGUUACUUCCUGGUCAGCCAGCCAAUAGGAGCCCGAAUCCCCAAUGGCCUGGGCCUGCUCUUACCGGAAGAAUUAUAAUAUUUCACUCAGCCUGAUUCCAAGGCAGACACAGAUGCUACAAAGAAUGCAAAAGAAAAACAGGAAAAAAUGCAGUCUCAAAAGAGGAAUCAUUCUGCAGUCUUGGGUACAUUGGAAACUUCAAAAGAGCAUGAGAAAAUACGUGGCAUAAUCACAGUUGGAUGGGAUUUUAGAAGAUACAAGAAGACACAGCAUGCCAUCUAUCACCAGUCAACAUAGAACUACAUUUUCAGAAGUUAGCAAGUGUUUGCACCUAAGAUGAGUAGUAUCCUAGAAUAUCCAAAAGACCUUUUUUCUUUGAUAAUCCAUUUGUAGAUUAAAUGAAAAAUUAUCUGUGCACCAUUUUUAACACUAUUUAUUUGA
Long non-coding RNA from Vidua macroura (Pin-tailed whydah), 873 nucleotides. RefSeq lists it as uncharacterized. NCBI's taxonomy places the organism in Eukaryota, Metazoa, Chordata, Aves, Passeriformes, Viduidae. The transcript is spliced from 3 exons. The record is from RefSeq and is a predicted model, not a curated record.